UUGAACACCCUGUACAUGGAAAUCAAGAUGACAGCAUACAGUUACUGAAGUGAAAAGAAAAUGAAGAAUAUCUGAAUGCCAAAUGGUGUUGAAAUUAUUAACCUACCAGCAAAAGUAAUGACAGUUGAAGAUGUGUGCAAAAAAGAUGAAUGAAAAUCUAUUAAAAACCACAUUUGAGGAUCUACAAAAGCAAUGAUUGCAAGGAAAAAGGUAA
Molecule: unclassified non-coding RNA, 214 nt
Filed under: Hevea brasiliensis (rubber tree)
Lineage: Eukaryota; Viridiplantae; Streptophyta; Magnoliopsida; Malpighiales; Euphorbiaceae
Source: RNAcentral